GGUGGCUCAGUGGUAGAGCGCUUGCUUUGCAUGCAUGAGGCCUGGGUUCGAUUUUCGGACCA
RNAcentral lists this transfer RNA (62 nucleotides) under Dipodomys ordii (Ord's kangaroo rat). It matches the Rfam family "tRNA". Rfam says of the family: Transfer RNA (tRNA) molecules are approximately 80 nucleotides in length. The record is from Rfam by way of RNAcentral. Lineage: Eukaryota; Metazoa; Chordata; Mammalia; Rodentia; Heteromyidae.